Molecule: ribosomal RNA, 383 nt
Filed under: Crepidula fornicata
Lineage: Eukaryota; Metazoa; Mollusca; Gastropoda; Littorinimorpha; Calyptraeidae
Description: SSU rRNA
Rfam family: Eukaryotic small subunit ribosomal RNA
Source: RNAcentral
CAAAGAUUAAGCCAUGCAUGUCUAAGUUCACACCCUCGUACGGUGAAACCGCGAAUGGCUCAUUAAAUCAGUCGAGGUUCCUUAGAUGAUCCAAAUUUACUUGGAUAACUGUGGUAAUUCUAGAGCUAAUACAUGCCGAACAGCUCCGACCCCUCGGGGAAAGAGCGCUUUUAUUAGUUCAAAACCAGUCGGGUUCUGCCCGUCCUUUGGUGACUCUGGAUAACUUUGUGCCGAUCGCAUGGCCUCGAGCCGGCGACGCAUCUUUCAAAUGUCUGCCCUAUCAAAUGACGAUGGUACGUGAUCUGCCUACCAUGUUAGCAACGGGUAGCGGGGAAUCAGGGUUCGAUUCCGGAGAGGGAGCAUGAGAAACGGCUACCACAUCC